Molecule: ribosomal RNA, 113 nt
Filed under: Peromyscus maniculatus bairdii (prairie deer mouse)
Lineage: Eukaryota; Metazoa; Chordata; Mammalia; Rodentia; Cricetidae
Source: RNAcentral
GUCUAUGGGCAUACCACCCUGAAUGUGCCCAAUCUCCUCAGAUCUCAGAAGCUGAGCAUGACUGGACUGACAAUACUUGGAUGGAAGACCUAUUAAGUCAUUCUUCUUUAUCU